GCCGCCCUCCCCCGGCCUCCCUCGGCGCUGCGCCGCCCUCUCAGCGCGACCGCCCCCCCGGGCCUGCCCGGGUGCCCUCGGCGCCGCCCCUGCCCCUCUGCCCCCGGCUGGUCUCUCGUUUCUGUCUGUGCGGUGCCGCACGGGCAGGUGUUGGGCAAUUUGUCCCCGUGUUCAGGAUGAAGCGUGGUUAAGAAGACCGUCGCCAGCUAGUAAAACCAGCCGGGGGGUCUCAUUUUCAUUGGAGUUAUCACACGUAUAAAAACCCAAUUGCUCUUGUGCUGUAGUUCCAGGCCGGUUGUUUCACCGAGAGCAGGGCAGCGCACCAGCAGUCUGAAGGCCAUGUACGUACUGGGCUGCGUGAAGUGAGUUUGCUGCUGUGCAAAGUUCAGCGAUUCCUCCUUGCGUGUUGGCACUAACAUCGUUGUCUGAUUCUAGGGGCCUGAGCUGUAACAGGGAAUUCCCUGCUGCUGCUUUCCUACAGCUCUGUGGGGAAGCAAACUGAGCCUUCUGCUGCGCUAAGCUUGCUCCCAGAUAAGAACGAGGGGAAUCUUUUUCCUGCUUUUUUUGUGCCGGGCAGGUCGCUGGAGACUUGCAAACGUGACUGUGCCGUGUUAGACUACUCCCUGGCCUUUUUUCUCCUGUUCCCGUGUUGUCUUUGUUCUGGGUUUGGAAACUCCAGCACUUACUACGUCCUCUCUCUUGGGCAGGAGGCUUCUCACAGGUUUGCUCUGCCGGUGAGUGGCCCAGAAGGAAUGAUCAAGCAGGAGAACUUUGUGCUGAGCACGUCAGGAAGGCUAUUGCUACCAGAGACAACUUGCUGCCACGAUGCUUGGACUCUUCUCCUCAAUGUCUACGGAUACUGAAAGUCAUCUGUGAACUGCACUUGUAUCCCCAUGACCCAUGUGGCCGACCAGCAGAGCUAGGAGGUGAUGGGUUUCAGAACAAGUUUUGCACUCUCUCUGCUGCUGUAGGAGUCAGGAGAUGCUCUGUCUCUAGCUGCCCGUUUUAAAGUAUUGCCUUAUUUUUUCCUGACGACUUGAUGUGUUUUGCCACUACCCUUCCUUUCUGUUCUUCUGACUAAGCUCAUUUCACAAUUUUUCAACCGUCCGUAUGUCCUCUUCCUCUCUGUGCCCCACAGAAACCUGCAAACAGGUGUCUUGACACGCUAGAGCUUGGGGCUUCCUCAGCGUGCCUGUGCUUCGCAGCCCUGCAUGUUACCUGCUCUGUGCCCUGUAGUAGCUGCUGCACUUUCUCUGCUCUCUUUCUCCCACAGCUGGGUGAACUGAAGGCGAGUAUUUCAUUCUAAACCAGUGUUAUCGACUUAAUCAGAUCUGCCCUCCAUGUUACAACCCCUCUCUCUUUUUCAAGAGUGUUGCACUAUAUUAGGAGAAAAGUCCAUGUUUUAAGAGAAGUAACAGCCUUUUAAAACCAGGGUGUGUGACUUGAUUUGUUCUGCCAUCCAAGCCCCGCCAACCUCUUUUUCUCCCAAACACUGAUUGCGGUUGACUGCUGGCAGAAGCUGGUUUCUAUGCCUGAACAUCUUUAAUAAAGGUCUCUCAGGUAUUAGCAGAAUGGAGAGGUUUCUUUCUAUAUAAAAUAUGGCAUUUAGAAAAAAACUCUAAAAUGAUGGGUUUAAUUUACCAGUCUGUGGCCAUAAUCCAGGGGCUACUAUAGCCAAACCUGUGCAGUUUCCUACUGAAAGCUGUAAUGCAGUCAUUAAUUUUUGACCAUACGCUCAUGUGUUGCAUCAGGGCACUGCUGUCAGAGCAGUUCUUGCCGGGGGAGUUUGUCUGGUUCUGGUGAAUGGAGUUAAAAGACCUGAAUUCAGGCCUUGGUUCAGCUUCUGACUCUGACCUUGGGCUCUGAUCUCGGGACUCUUAACCUUUGUCUUAAUCUCCCUAAGACAGCAGUGAUAAGUCUACCUGUGUGAUUGCUGUGUUUCUGAAAGUUUCCUUCUUCACAGUUUUUAAGAAGGGCUUGAAAUUGAUGAAUCUUGUUUUCAGUAAUUAAAAUCCAUCUUGACAACAGCAA
Dromaius novaehollandiae (emu) is the source of this 2031-nucleotide long non-coding RNA. RefSeq lists it as uncharacterized. The record is from RefSeq and is a predicted model, not a curated record. The transcript has 2 exons. NCBI's taxonomy places the organism in Eukaryota, Metazoa, Chordata, Aves, Casuariiformes, Dromaiidae.